RNAcentral lists this ribosomal RNA (268 nucleotides) under uncultured bacterium. Its description in RNAcentral is "partial 16S ribosomal RNA". It matches the Rfam family "Bacterial small subunit ribosomal RNA", at positions 87 to 353 of the family's 1533-position model. The record is from RNAcentral.
GAUGGCGACCGGCGCACGGGUGAGUAACACGUAUCCAACCUGCCGAUGACUCGGGGAUAGCCUUUCGAAAGAAAGAUUAAUACCCGAUGGCAUAGUUCUUCCGCAUGGUAGAACUAUUAAAGAAUUUCGGUCAUCGAUGGGGAUGCGUUCCAUUAGGUUGUUGGCGGGGUAACGGCCCACCAAGCCUUCGAUGGAUAGGGGUUCUGAGAGGAAGGUCCCCCCACAUUGGAACUGAGACACGGUCCAAACUCCUACGGGAGGCAGCAUG